This 255-nucleotide ribosomal RNA is filed under the name uncultured bacterium. Its description in RNAcentral is "partial 16S ribosomal RNA". It matches the Rfam family "Bacterial small subunit ribosomal RNA", at positions 524 to 776 of the family's 1533-position model. The record is from RNAcentral.
UACGUAGGGGGCUAGCGUUGUCCGGAAUCAUUGGCGUAAAGCGCGUGUAGGCGGCCCGGUAAGUCCGCUGUGAAAGUCGGGGGCUCAACCCUCGGAUGCCGGUGGAUACUGUCGGGCUCGAGUACGGAAGAGGCGAGUGGAAUUCCCGGUGUAGUGGUGAAAUGCGUAGAUAUCGGGAAGGAACACCAGUGGCGAAGGCGGACUACCCUGGCCUGUUCGUUGACGCUGAGGCGCGAAAGCUAGGGAGCAAACGGG